UGUCACGACUAGGGGUAGUUGCUGGGCCCCAGCGUCAAGCACAUACAGGUGACAAAUUCCGUCUCUGAGUGAGGGCCCAAAGAAGCUCUCGGCUCAAUAAACGGAGAUGUGUGUGAUGUACACACAUGUGCAGGGUACUAGUGGGAGACAGGGCAAGGGAACCCAGAGGUGUUGCUGGACUGAUCCUAGAAGAUGCAGAGUAUUAGCCUGACAGAGGAAGGACAUUCCAGGAUGAGAAAUGUCUGGAGACACAGCCCUGAGGACAGAAAUUCCCCAGGGCUCUCAGUGGCCAGGGGCCAAGCAUGGCAGCAGAAAUCCAAUGUGAGGCUGUUGGCCAAAGCCAGGCACAGGAAGGGUGUGCCAUGGUCAGCACUUUUGGGGUUACCAUUAAAAGAUGUACCCCGAAGAGGGGUAGGGUCUAACAUGCAUUUUAAGAAAAGUUCACUUUGUCUUAACAGAUGGAAUUAUGAGAGGACAAGAUUGAAGAUGGAGGUAAAGGUUGGGGGGAUGGCCUUUUGAGAGAAAUAGAAAAUCAGUAAUGGGCACAGUAUUAGGUAUGCAAAGGAUUAUUUAGGAGAAAAUAAAUUAGGGUCAGUUAUUGUAGUUGCUGUAAGAAGCGAUCUCAAAUCAGAGUGGCAUCACAUGUUGAGAGUUUAUUUCUUAUUCACUUCCCAGUCCACUGUGGGCCUGCAUGGGGCCUGGGGUAUGGGGAAGGAGAACUCUGCUCCACACAGUCAUUCAGGAAUCCUGGCUCUUUCAGGCAGAAGUUCUGCCAUUCCCUUGGGCCCUGGAGUUUUCAGCUAGUUCUCUGCAGAGGACCAGCAAAGGGGUGAGGGGAAGAAAUAGGAUGGAGCAUCCUGCAGGAGGUUUAGGGUCCAGGUCUGGGGGGUGGCCAGCACAUCACUCACAUGCAUAUUUUGGUGGCCAGAACUCAGACAUGUGGCCCCAUCUAACUUGAGGGAGGCUGGAAUAUAUAGUCCAGCUGAGAGCCCAGAACAAAAAGGAACUGGGUCUGGCAAACACAGCACACUGACUUUGCCACAACAUGUUUAGGAGGUAAAAUCUUUGGGGGCUCAGUAAUUGAUUCAACGUGGAAGAAGGAGAGAGGAAAGUUCAGAGAGCUUCCAGGUUUCCACCAGGGAGGUCGGAACAGGUUGCCUUAGACGGUGACCGCAGGAGCCACUGCCUGAGCAAGGAAGAUGGUGCAUUCAUUUUAAAAUCGCUGUGUAGCUUAACAUUCACUGCCUGUUUUAACAUGUGUCCUGCAUUCCAUUUAUUGGAGAAAUGUUUCUUUUUCUUUAUUUUUUUAAAUGAAUAUAAUUUACAAUGUAAAAGGUCAAAUAAAAUGAAAAUGAAACAGAAAAAUCCUCACUUUUCAAUAUUCCUUUCUCAUCUAAUGAAGACCCCUUCCCUUCUCUAUUUCUCCUGGCUACCUGCCUUAGGCCUAAAGCAACAACCAGAAGCCUUCCUGGGUGUUUACAUUACAGCACACCAGACUACAGGCACCGCCGCCCCUGACACUGCCUGCAGCUGAAGUCACCAAGUUUGCCGUGCCCCAUAACUGAGGUCAUUGGCAGCCCAGCACCAAGCCUCACUGGCAUCGAGGGCAGCAGGUUAGUAAGCAUGGCUCCACACGGGUAAGCAGUUCUAGGAAAUGGGAAGAAACCCAGACCAUCCAUCUCAGGGUAAGUUUGCUGGAUUUUCUCUCUGUUUUAAGAGUCUUUCAACAGGUCAUACAGCCCAUUCUCAAAUUCAGAUUUCUGUUUUUGUUAAGAACAGGGACUGUGGAACGAAUUUGCCUGACUUUGCCGUCAUUCUGCCAUUUCCUAGCUAUGUGGCCUCAGGCAAACUGAUUAAACUUACUGGCCUCAGAAUGGGGAAAAUUGUUGUAACUCAUGCUUGGGAUUACGUGAAGAUGAAAAGCAGGCAUGUCCAUGAAGUGCUUACAAGGGGGACCAGCGCGAUGUACCUAUUCUGUGCAUCCUACCCGUCCACUGUUCCUUCUCCGUGGCUCUUGAAGAAGCUGGAGUUUUCUUUCAGUCUUCUGCUUCUCCUGUUGCUUCCUCUAACUGAAGGAAGAAUCAGUCCAUGGCUUCUGCUCCAUGCUUUCUGCUCUUGGUUCGGGCUCCAACUUCCCCAUUAAUGGAAGAGAAUGGCUCUCCUGCUCCCAGCUAUAAUGAACUAAUUAAUUUUUCUAUUUCUCUAAUCAUUCUCUAUUCCCUGCCAAACCCUCUGGGUGUCUGUUUUGUUCUAUUGUUCAAGCCUGGACUUUGAGGGUAGGCUGGGGGCAUUGCUAGUCCCCACAAUUGCUAAUCCAGGCACUUGAGUCAUUAUCUUCUCUACAUCACACUUAACAACCAGAGGGAAGUGCAGCCUCGUGGGCCUCGGAAAGGAAACCACCCACAGACUUGUGCGCCUUCUUCGCAGGCCAGGCUUUCCUUCCCCCAUGGUAAGAAGGUGAAGACUUGGAGAUUGGUGAGUCAGGCAAUCAAGGUCAAAUUGACAUACUCUAGAAGAUUACAUGCCGUGUGGAACAGUGCUGGGCAGGGGACCCACUGGGACAGGGGCUCAGGGGGCUAUGGCAGUCCCGCAGGAGAUUCUGGAGUAACAGACAUCCCCAGGACCUCAGCGGCUCAUAGGAACGACAUGGCACACAUUGGUGGUGGCUCUCCUCCCAGGCAGUACCCCACAUCUUGUCUUCCGUGUUUGGGCACCCAGGCUGGAGUAGCAACCCAUCUCAGUCAAUGGCAAAGGAAGAGGGGCUGUGUGUGAGCAGCAGGGAACAACUUUCAGCUUAUAAUUCGGGACUUACAGGAAAGAAAAGAAAAUGUCUACUCUCCUAAGAGAAAUCUGAUCAUCUGCCGGCAUAAAUGUUGGUUGACCUUGACUCUUCUCUUUGAAUGCCUGAAAACCUGAACAAGGCAGUUGGGGCCAGGACAGCCCAGAAAGGCAGGUUUGAGUGGGGGUCCUGGCAUUUACAGAAACAUUCUAGUGUCCAUGGUGAUCCUACCGGAAAGCCAGUGUCAAGAACCACUGAGCCCCAGGACGCAGGUUUCCUUGCCUCUAUCAAGAUACAGGCCCCGCUACAGUACUGCUGAGAGCAAGAAAUAGAAGCACCUGCAAGACAGUGCAGCCCUCACAAGCUAGACAUUUGAUGUCAUGGGAAAACUUGCACCCAGGCAGUUGAGUGCACUUGUUCAGCAGACCUGUUGGGGAAAAUGGGAAGAGGGAGCAUAUCUGGCUGACCUUGAGGACAGAAAGGAACUCUCAUCAAAAUUACUUGACCAAGAGAACAUUCCAGGUGCCCAACUCUGCCAAACAUAAUAGCAAAUAUGUACCAGGAAAGUAAGAAAAACUUAUGGGUU
This 3365-nucleotide long non-coding RNA is filed under the name Pan troglodytes (chimpanzee). RNAcentral's name for it is "lincRNA". Lineage: Eukaryota; Metazoa; Chordata; Mammalia; Primates; Hominidae. The record is from RNAcentral.